This 477-nucleotide ribosomal RNA is filed under the name uncultured bacterium. Its description in RNAcentral is "partial 16S ribosomal RNA". It matches the Rfam family "Bacterial small subunit ribosomal RNA", at positions 30 to 507 of the family's 1533-position model. The record is from RNAcentral.
AUUGAACGCUGGCGGCAUGCCUUACACAUGCAAGUCGAACGGUAACAGGUUAAGCUGACGAGUGGCGAACGGGUGAGUAAUGUAUCGGAACGUGCCCAGUCGUGGGUGAUAACUGCUCGAAAGAGCAGCUAAUACCGCAUACGACCUGAGGGUUAAAGCGGGGGAUCGCAAGCCCUCGCGCGAUUGGAGCGGCCGAUAUCAGAUUAGGUAGUUGGUGAGGUAAAGGCUCACCAAGCCGACGAUCUGUAGCUGGUCUGAGAGGACGACCAGCCACACUGGGACUGAGACACGGCCCAGACUCCUACGGGAGGCAGCAGUGGGGAAUUUUGGACAAUGGGCGCAAGCCUGAUCCAGCCAUGCCGCGUGCGGGAAGAAGGCCUUCGGGUUGUAAACCGCUUUUGUCAGGGAAGAAAAGGUUCUGGCUAAUACCUGGGACUCAUGACGGUACCUGAAGAAUAAGCACCGGCUAACUACGUG